RNAcentral lists this ribosomal RNA (2905 nucleotides) under Salmonella enterica. Its description in RNAcentral is "23S ribosomal RNA". It matches the Rfam family "Bacterial large subunit ribosomal RNA". Lineage: Bacteria; Pseudomonadati; Pseudomonadota; Gammaproteobacteria; Enterobacterales; Enterobacteriaceae. The record is from RNAcentral.
GGUUAAGCGACUAAGCGUACACGGUGGAUGCCCUGGCAGUCAGAGGCGAUGAAGGACGUGCUAAUCUGCGAUAAGCGCCGGUAAGGUGAUAUGAACCGUUAUAACCGGCGAUUUCCGAAUGGGGAAACCCAGUGUGACUCGUCACACUAUCAUUAACUGAAUCCAUAGGUUAAUGAGGCGAACCGGGGGAACUGAAACAUCUAAGUACCCCGAGGAAAAGAAAUCAACCGAGAUUCCCCCAGUAGCGGCGAGCGAACGGGGAGGAGCCCAGAGCCUGAAUCAGCAUGUGUGUUAGUGGAAGCGUCUGGAAAGGCGCGCGAUACAGGGUGACAGCCCCGUACACAAAAGCGCAUGUGCUGUGAGCUCGAUGAGUAGGGCGGGACACGUGGUAUCCUGUCUGAAUAUGGGGGGACCAUCCUCCAAGGCUAAAUACUCCUGACUGACCGAUAGUGAACCAGUACCGUGAGGGAAAGGCGAAAAGAACCCCGGCGAGGGGAGUGAAAAAGAACCUGAAACCGUGUACGUACAAGCAGUGGGAGCACCCUUUGGGGUGUGACUGCGUACCUUUUGUAUAAUGGGUCAGCGACUUAUAUUCUGUAGCAAGGUUAACCGAAUAGGGGAGCCGCAGGGAAACCGAGUCUUAAUUGGGCGUUAAGUUGCAGGGUAUAGACCCGAAACCCGGUGAUCUAGCCAUGGGCAGGUUGAAGGUUGGGUAACACUAACUGGAGGACCGAACCGACUAAUGUUGAAAAAUUAGCGGAUGACCUGUGGCUGGGGGUGAAAGGCCAAUCAAACCGGGAGAUAGCUGGUUCUCCCCGAAAGCUAUUUAGGUAGCGCCUCGUGAAUUCAUCUCCGGGGGUAGAGCACUGUUUCGGCUAGGGGGCCAUCCCGGCUUACCAACCCGAUGCAAACUGCGAAUACCGGAGAAUGUUAUCACGGGAGACACACGGCGGGUGCUAACGUCCGUCGUGAAGAGGGAAACAACCCAGACCGCCAGCUAAGGUCCCAAAGUCAUGGUUAAGUGGGAAACGAUGUGGGAAGGCCCAGACAGCCAGGAUGUUGGCUUAGAAGCAGCCAUCAUUUAAAGAAAGCGUAAUAGCUCACUGGUCGAGUCGGCCUGCGCGGAAGAUGUAACGGGGCUAAACCAUGCACCGAAGCUGCGGCAGCGACACUGUGUGUUGUUGGGUAGGGGAGCGUUCUGUAAGCCUGUGAAGGUGGCCUGUGAGGGUUGCUGGAGGUAUCAGAAGUGCGAAUGCUGACAUAAGUAACGAUAAAGCGGGUGAAAAGCCCGCUCGCCGGAAGACCAAGGGUUCCUGUCCAACGUUAAUCGGGGCAGGGUGAGUCGACCCCUAAGGCGAGGCCGAAAGGCGUAGUCGAUGGGAAACGGGUUAAUAUUCCCGUACUUGGUGUUACUGCGAAGGGGGGACGGAGAAGGCUAUGUUGGCCGGGCGACGGUUGUCCCGGUUUAAGCGUGUAGGUGUGUGUUCCAGGUAAAUCCGGUUCACUUUAACACUGAGGCGUGAUGACGAGGCACUACGGUGCUGAAGCAACAAAUGCCCUGCUUCCAGGAAAAGCCUCUAAGCAUCAGGUAACAUCAAAUCGUACCCCAAACCGACACAGGUGGUCAGGUAGAGAAUACCAAGGCGCUUGAGAGAACUCGGGUGAAGGAACUAGGCAAAAUGGUGCCGUAACUUCGGGAGAAGGCACGCUGACACGUAGGUGAAGUGAUUUACUCAUGGAGCUGAAGUCAGUCGAAGAUACCAGCUGGCUGCAACUGUUUAUUAAAAACACAGCACUGUGCAAACACGAAAGUGGACGUAUACGGUGUGACGCCUGCCCGGUGCCGGAAGGUUAAUUGAUGGGGUCAGCGCAAGCGAAGCUCCUGAUCGAAGCCCCGGUAAACGGCGGCCGUAACUAUAACGGUCCUAAGGUAGCGAAAUUCCUUGUCGGGUAAGUUCCGACCUGCACGAAUGGCGUAAUGAUGGCCAGGCUGUCUCCACCCGAGACUCAGUGAAAUUGAACUCGCUGUGAAGAUGCAGUGUACCCGCGGCAAGACGGAAAGACCCCGUGAACCUUUACUAUAGCUUGACACUGAACAUUGAGCCUUGAUGUGUAGGAUAGGUGGGAGGCUUUGAAGUGUGGACGCCAGUCUGCAUGGAGCCGACCUUGAAAUACCACCCUUUAAUGUUUGAUGUUCUAACGUGGACCCGUAAUCCGGGUUGCGGACAGUGUCUGGUGGGUAGUUUGACUGGGGCGGUCUCCUCCUAAAGAGUAACGGAGGAGCACGAAGGUUGGCUAAUCCUGGUCGGACAUCAGGAGGUUAGUGCAAUGGCAUAAGCCAGCUUGACUGCGAGCGUGACGGCGCGAGCAGGUGCGAAAGCAGGUCAUAGUGAUCCGGUGGUUCUGAAUGGAAGGGCCAUCGCUCAACGGAUAAAAGGUACUCCGGGGAUAACAGGCUGAUACCGCCCAAGAGUUCAUAUCGACGGCGGUGUUUGGCACCUCGAUGUCGGCUCAUCACAUCCUGGGGCUGAAGUAGGUCCCAAGGGUAUGGCUGUUCGCCAUUUAAAGUGGUACGCGAGCUGGGUUUAGAACGUCGUGAGACAGUUCGGUCCCUAUCUGCCGUGGGCGCUGGAGAACUGAGGGGGGCUGCUCCUAGUACGAGAGGACCGGAGUGGACGCAUCACUGGUGUUCGGGUUGUCAUGCCAAUGGCACUGCCCGGUAGCUAAAUGCGGAAGAGAUAAGUGCUGAAAGCAUCUAAGCACGAAACUUGCCCCGAGAUGAGUUCUCCCUGAGACUUAGAGUCUCCUGAAGGAACGUUGAAGACGACGACGUUGAUAGGCCGGGUGUGUAAGCGCAGCGAUGCGUUGAGCUAACCGGUACUAAUGAACCGUGAGGCUUAACCUU